Molecule: long non-coding RNA, 1319 nt
Filed under: Rhinopithecus bieti (black snub-nosed monkey)
Lineage: Eukaryota; Metazoa; Chordata; Mammalia; Primates; Cercopithecidae
Description: lncRNA (ENSRBIG00000046695.1)
Source: RNAcentral
GUUAGAUAGGGUAGAGGCAGAAGUAGAGGCAAUUAAACAUGAAGGAUUGUGAAGGCAAAAGAUGAACCAGCCAGCUGUAGUCUCUGGAUGCAUAAAUGGAGAAGACCCGGAGAGAAAAACUGACGUUCUCUGUGUUUACCUGUAAGCACAGGUAAGUACAGAACCUUCUGGGAGAGCCCACUGAUUUUGGUGGCAACAGCCUUCUUCAAGUGAAGAUGGGAGGGAGUGAGCCUGCAUCUUUAAGGAUCACACAAUCUCAUUUUAAUUAUUAACUCGCUGCAUUAUUAACGGACCAGCUGUGUGCAGCAGAAAACCAAGGGUCAGAACUCCAGGCCAAAGAUCCAUUCCUGGUGCCACCUCCAGCCCAGCGGUCUCGAACUCUUCUCAGGACCCUUUCAGAACUUGAUGAAUGACAGCGAGACUUCCUUCCAGAAAAGUGCACGAUUUGUCUGCAAUUUCGGGAUUCGGCUAGGAAUACGGCUGCAGUCAUGCAGGCUCCUUCAGCCCUUCCUGGAGCACAGAGAGUUGGAUGCCUUGGCAGUGAGAUUUAGUCCCUGCUGAUUGCAGCCCGGCACCUGGGGGAGAACCGGGCCUCAGAAACUGAGCCUGAGAUCCAGGUGGACAGACAGGAGCUGGGUCUAUGCUGACCAGGGUAGAUGGAGAUGCUGGCUGACCAGAGGAGCUUCUGGAGAAAGCUGACAUGCAGGGCUUGGCAUCGUGGAACAGGAUGGGCAGCUUUGGGAACCAAGGGAAAAGUGACAGUCCAGUCUCUCCACCCCGGUUAUUUGUCUGCAGUCCAGCUAGGCCAUUCUUCCAUCCACUGGAUGAAGGUCCUACAGAAAUCAAGGUCCGGGGCUGCCACCAAGCCUUCUGGCUUCUCCAAGGGGCAGCUGGGGCUCAUGGCUUGCUGUCCACAGCCCCUGCCUGCCUCCCACCAAUCCUCCAUUCUGCUGCCAAAACCACCCAGCCAACCCUCAAAUGGAACUGUGUCACAAACCUGGAUUACGGACCCUGCUGGGCUCUCCUCCACAGACUGGAGGCCCACAGAUGGGUUUUUGCUUGUCCUGCAUUGAGAUUUUUAAAAAUCUGGAAGUUGCCCAGCUUCCCUUGAAACACCAGUUGGCUGGUGCUAGUGCAAGGCCUCCUUAGGCAGGUACUUAGGGAACAGUCCUCACCAUUCCCUGUUGUCUCACAUCCAGCCUCCUUCCCUCAUGAAAUGCAAUGUCUGGUGCCUGCAUACUUUUGAGUUUCUCCCGUCUAGUCUACAGGCAAAGGCUAUUGUAGCAUGGCUGGGAGGGAAGGAACAAGGAAAGAAGUGG